CCAACUUUAUACCUUCGCCAUUGUAGCGCACGCGAAGAAUAUUUAAACAAAUGGGUAAUUUUUUUACUAUCUGUAAUUUCUGCAUGCAAAAAUUCGUUGUGCCAACAAAACUAAGCAGGAAUAAGAGAUAUUAGACUAAACGAGCGACAAUAACAAACUGGGAAAGUUUACGACUUCCAUCGUUCCGCGUUAUUAAUACUCAAACAAACAACGUUAUUUUUUAAUUUCAGUGUUACUCGGUGGAAAUAUUGUGUGUUUGCUGGCAGGCCUACAGGCGUACAGGGUCGAAGGGUGGGUUGGAUGCUGAAGAGUUACGAUGCGGACGAUACGGGUGGGGCUAACGUCGGAAAAUCAGAUCAUAUUUAUUGCGUCUGGGUGUAACGUGUAACGCCGCAAACUCGUAAAAAACAAACAAGCGACGAUAAAACCGAAACAAAAACGAAACACCAUGAAUCCUUAAGAAAUCACGCAGGAAAAAACAAGAAAUAAUAACAUCGUAUAAAUAAAAAUAAUGGUUUUAAAGGCAUAAAGUGAAUAAAAGAUAUAUAAACUUAAAAA
Dalotia coriaria is the source of this 558-nucleotide long non-coding RNA. RefSeq lists it as uncharacterized. NCBI's taxonomy places the organism in Eukaryota, Metazoa, Arthropoda, Insecta, Coleoptera, Staphylinidae. The transcript is spliced from 2 exons. The record is from RefSeq and is a predicted model, not a curated record.